RNAcentral lists this ribosomal RNA (1331 nucleotides) under uncultured marine bacterium. RNAcentral describes it as "bacterial SSU rRNA". It matches the Rfam family "Bacterial small subunit ribosomal RNA", at positions 48 to 1383 of the family's 1533-position model. The record is from RNAcentral.
UUAACACAUGCAAGUCGAGGGGUAACGGGGAAGCUUGCUUCCGCCGACGACCGGCGCACGGGUGCGUAACGCGUAUACAAUCUACCUAGUACUGGGGUAUAGCCUUUAGAAAUGAAGAUUAAUCCCCCAUAGUCUCUUAGAGUGGCAUCACUUCUAGAGUAAAGGUUACGGUAUAAGAUGAGUAUGCGUUCUAUUAGUUUGUUGGUGUGGUAACGGCACACCAAGACUACGAUAGAUAGGGGCCCUGAGAGGGGGAUCCCCCACACUGGUACUGAGACACGGACCAGACUCCUACGGGAGGCAGCAGUGAGGAAUAUUGGACAAUGGAGGCAACUCUGAUCCAGCCAUGCCGCGUGCAGGAAGACUGCCCUAUGGGUUGUAAACUGCUUUUAUACAGGAAGAAACACCUCUACGUGUAGAGGCUUGACGGUACUGUAAGAAUAAGGAUCGGCUAACUCCGUGCCAGCAGCCGCGGUAAUACGGAGGGUCCAAGCGUUAUCCGGAAUCAUUGGGUUUAAAGGGUCCGUAGGUGGAUAAUUAAGUCAGAGGUGAAAUCUUGCAGCUCAACUGUAAAAUUGCCUUUGAAACUGGUUAUCUUGAGUUAUUAUGAAGUAGUUAGAAUAUGUAGUGUAGCGGUGAAAUGCAUAGAUAUUACAUAGAAUACCAAUUGCGAAGGCAGAUUACUAAUAAUCAACUGACACUGAUGGACGAAAGCGUGGGUAGCGAACAGGAUUAGAUACCCUGGUAGUCCACGCCGUAAACGAUGGUUACUAGCUGUUUGGACUUCGGUCUGAGUGGCUAAGCGAAAGUGAUAAGUAACCCACCUGGGGAGUACGUUCGCAAGAAUGAAACUCAAAGGAAUUGACGGGGGCCCGCACAAGCGGUGAGCAUGUGGUUUAAUUCGAUGAUACGCGAGGAACCUUACCAGGGCUUAAAUGUAAGUUGCAUUAGUUAGAGAUAGCUAUUUCUUCGGACCACUUACAAGGUGCUGCAUGGUUGUCGUCAGCUCGUGCCGUGAGGUGUCAGGUUAAGCCCUAUAACGAGCGCAACCCCUGUUGUUAGUUGCCAGCGAGUCAUGUCGGGAACUCUAACAAGACUGCCAGUGCAAACUGUGAGGAAGGUGGGGAUGACGUCAAAUCAUCACGGCCCUUACGUCCUGGGCUACACACGUGCUACAAUGGUAGGUACAGAGAGCAGCCACUGCGCGAGCAGGAGCGAAUCUAUAAAACCUAUCACAGUUCGGAUCGGAGUCUGCAACUCGACUCCGUGAAGCUGGAAUCGCUAGUAAUCGGAUAUCAGCCAUGAUCCGGUGAAUACGUUCCCGGGCCUUG